AUAAAGACUAUGAUGAGGAAUAGUAGCGGUUUAAACCAGUAAAGAGAGUUGACGGGUGGUGCAAGUCAACCUGGGACGGUCGCGAACUCGCCUUGGAGUCCCGGGUGUGAAUUAAUAAGUAAUGCCUGGCGUUUUAAUCCAUGUUACGGAUGUUUUAAGCUGGGCGGAUUUUAGCUAUCGCCAAUGUGGGUGGUACCGCGGGAAGAUAUACAUAAUCCUCUCGUCCCUAUU
Bacillus sp. FJAT-22058 is the source of this 231-nucleotide non-coding RNA. The record is from Rfam. NCBI's taxonomy places the organism in Bacteria, Bacillati, Bacillota, Bacilli, Caryophanales, Bacillaceae.